CCUGGCUCUAGCAGCACAGAAAUAUUGGCACCGGGAGGUGAGUCUGCCAAUAUUGGCUGUGCUGCUCCAGGCAGGGUGG
Molecule: microRNA precursor, 79 nt
Filed under: Carlito syrichta (Philippine tarsier)
Lineage: Eukaryota; Metazoa; Chordata; Mammalia; Primates; Tarsiidae
Description: microRNA 195 (ENSTSYG00000027986.1)
Rfam family: mir-16 microRNA precursor family
About the family: The hairpin precursors (represented here) are predicted based on base pairing and cross-species conservation -- their extents are not known.
Source: RNAcentral